RNAcentral lists this microRNA precursor (103 nucleotides) under Marmota monax (woodchuck). The record is from RNAcentral. Lineage: Eukaryota; Metazoa; Chordata; Mammalia; Rodentia; Sciuridae.
AAUGAGAUAACCAGGUCAAAUGGUGGUUCCAUUUCAAGUUUUCUGAGGAAUAUCCAUACUGCUUUCCAGAGUGGUUGCACCAAUUUGCAGUCCCACCAGCAAU